This 163-nucleotide ribosomal RNA is filed under the name Proustia cuneifolia subsp. cinerea. RNAcentral describes it as "5.8S ribosomal RNA". It matches the Rfam family "5.8S ribosomal RNA". Rfam says of the family: 5.8S ribosomal RNA (5.8S rRNA) is a component of the large subunit of the eukaryotic ribosome. It is transcribed by RNA polymerase I as part of the 45S precursor that also contains 18S and 28S rRNA. Functionally, it is thought that 5.8S rRNA may be involved in ribosome translocation. Lineage: Eukaryota; Viridiplantae; Streptophyta; Magnoliopsida; Asterales; Asteraceae. The record is from RNAcentral.
AAAUGACUCCCGGUAACAGAUAUCUCAACUCACGCAUCGAUGAAGAACGWAGCAAAAUGCGAUACUUGGUGUGAAUUGCAGAAUCCCGUGAACCAUCAAGUUUUGGAAUGCAAGUUGCGCCUGAAGCCAUCCGGCCGAGGGCACGCCUGCCUAGGCGUGACGC